RNAcentral lists this ribosomal RNA (1891 nucleotides) under human gut metagenome. Its description in RNAcentral is "bacterial LSU rRNA". It matches the Rfam family "Bacterial large subunit ribosomal RNA", at positions 594 to 2471 of the family's 2925-position model. The record is from RNAcentral.
UGACUGCGUACCUUUUGUAUAAUGGGUCAGCGACUUAUAUUCUGUAGCAAGGUUAACCGAAUAGGGGAGCCGAAGGGAAACCGAGUCUUAACUGGGCGUUAAGUUGCAGGGUAUAGACCCGAAACCCGGUGAUCUAGCCAUGGGCAGGUUGAAGGUUGGGUAACACUAACUGGAGGACCGAACCGACUAAUGUUGAAAAAUUAGCGGAUGACUUGUGGCUGGGGGUGAAAGGCCAAUCAAACCGGGAGAUAGCUGGUUCUCCCCGAAAGCUAUUUAGGUAGCGCCUCGUGAAUUCAUCUCCGGGGGUAGAGCACUGUUUCGGCAAGGGGGUCAUCCCGACUUACCAACCCGAUGCAAACUGCGAAUACCGGAGAAUGUUAUCACGGGAGACACACGGCGGGUGCUAACGUCCGUCGUGAAGAGGGAAACAACCCAGACCGCCAGCUAAGGUCCCAAAGUCAUGGUUAAGUGGGAAACGAUGUGGGAAGGCCCAGACAGCCAGGAUGUUGGCUUAGAAGCAGCCAUCAUUUAAAGAAAGCGUAAUAGCUCACUGGUCGAGUCGGCCUGCGCGGAAGAUGUAACGGGGCUAAACCAUGCACCGAAGCUGCGGCAGCGACACUGUGUGUUGUUGGGUAGGGGAGCGUUCUGUAAGCCUGUGAAGGUGUGCUGUGAGGCAUGCUGGAGGUAUCAGAAGUGCGAAUGCUGACAUAAGUAACGAUAAAGCGGGUGAAAAGCCCGCUCGCCGGAAGACCAAGGGUUCCUGUCCAACGUUAAUCGGGGCAGGGUGAGUCGACCCCUAAGGCGAGGCCGAAAGGCGUAGUCGAUGGGAAACAGGUUAAUAUUCCUGUACUUGGUGUUACUGCGAAGGGGGGACGGAGAAGGCUAUGUUGGCCGGGCGACGGUUGUCCCGGUUUAAGCGUGUAGGCUGGUUUUCCAGGCAAAUCCGGAAAAUCAAGGCUGAGGCGUGAUGACGAGGCACUACGGUGCUGAAGCAACAAAUGCCCUGCUUCCAGGAAAAGCCUCUAAGCAUCAGGUAACAUCAAAUCGUACCCCAAACCGACACAGGUGGUCAGGUAGAGAAUACCAAGGCGCUUGAGAGAACUCGGGUGAAGGAACUAGGCAAAAUGGUGCCGUAACUUCGGGAGAAGGCACGCUGAUAUGUAGGUGAAGUCCCUCGCGGAUGGAGCUGAAAUCAGUCGAAGAUACCAGCUGGCUGCAACUGUUUAUUAAAAACACAGCACUGUGCAAACACGAAAGUGGACGUAUACGGUGUGACGCCUGCCCGGUGCCGGAAGGUUAAUUGAUGGGGUCAGCGCAAGCGAAGCUCUUGAUCGAAGCCCCGGUAAACGGCGGCCGUAACUAUAACGGUCCUAAGGUAGCGAAAUUCCUUGUCGGGUAAGUUCCGACCUGCACGAAUGGCGUAAUGAUGGCCAGGCUGUCUCCACCCGAGACUCAGUGAAAUUGAACUCGCUGUGAAGAUGCAGUGUACCCGCGGCAAGACGGAAAGACCCCGUGAACCUUUACUAUAGCUUGACACUGAACAUUGAGCCUUGAUGUGUAGGAUAGGUGGGAGGCUUUGAAGUGUGGACGCCAGUCUGCAUGGAGCCGACCUUGAAAUACCACCCUUUAAUGUUUGAUGUUCUAACGUGGACCCGUGAUCCGGGUUGCGGACAGUGUCUGGUGGGUAGUUUGACUGGGGCGGUCUCCUCCUAAAGAGUAACGGAGGAGCACGAAGGUUGGCUAAUCCUGGUCGGACAUCAGGAGGUUAGUGCAAUGGCAUAAGCCAGCUUGACUGCGAGCGUGACGGCGCGAGCAGGUGCGAAAGCAGGUCAUAGUGAUCCGGUGGUUCUGAAUGGAAGGGCCAUCGCUCAACGGAUAAAAGGUACUCCGG